GUGGGGAAUAUUGGGCAAUGGGCGAAAGCCUGACCCAGCGACGCCGCGUGAGGGAUGAAGGUCUUCGGAUUGUAAACCUCUUUCAGUAGGGAAGAAGCGAAAGUGACGGUACCUAAAGAAGAAGCACCGGCUAACUCUGUGCCAGCAGCCGCGGUAAUACAGAGGGUGCAAGCGUUAAUCGGAAUUACUGGGCGUAAAGCGUGCGUAGACGGUUGUUUAAGUCGGAUGUGAAAUCCCCGGGCUCAACCUGGGAAUUGCAUUCGAGACUGAUCAGCUAGGGUACGGAAGAGGGAAGCGGAAUUUCCGGUGUAGCGGUGAAAUGCGUAGAUAUCGGAAGGAACAUCAGUGGCGAAAGCGGCUUCCUGGUCCAGUACCGACGUUCAGGCACGAAAGCGUGGGGAGCAAACAGGAUUAGAAACCCGAGUAGUCC
RNAcentral lists this ribosomal RNA (430 nucleotides) under uncultured bacterium. Its description in RNAcentral is "bacterial SSU rRNA". It matches the Rfam family "Bacterial small subunit ribosomal RNA", at positions 354 to 796 of the family's 1533-position model. The record is from RNAcentral.